UUGAUCCUGGCUCAGGACGAACGCUGGCGGCGUGCUUAACACAUGCAAGUCGAACGAUGAAGCCCUUCGGGGUGGAUUAGUGGCGAACGGGUGAGUAACACGUGGGCAAUCUGCCCUUCACUCUGGGACAAGCCCUGGAAACGGGGUCUAAUACCGGAUAACACUCUGUCCCGCAUGGGACGGGGUUGAAAGCUCCGGCGGUGAAGGAUGAGCCCGCGGCCUAUCAGCUUGUUGGUGGGGUGAUGGCCUACCAAGGCGACGACGGGUAGCCGGCCUGAGAGGGCGACCGGCCACACUGGGACUGAGACACGGCCCAGACUCCUACGGGAGGCAGCAGUGGGGAAUAUUGCACAAUGGGCGAAAGCCUGAUGCAGCGACGCCGCGUGAGGGAUGACGGCCUUCGGGUUGUAAACCUCUUUCAGCAGGGAAGAAGCGAGAGUGACGGUACCUGCAGAAGAAGCGCCGGCUAACUACGUGCCAGCAGCCGCGGUAAUACGUAGGGCGCAAGCGUUGUCCGGAAUUAUUGGGCGUAAAGAGCUCGUAGGCGGCUUGUCGCGUCGGAUGUGAAAGCCCGGGGCUUAACCCCGGGUCUGCAUUCGAUACGGGCAGGCUAGAGUGUGGUAGGGGAGAUCGGAAUUCCUGGUGUAGCGGUGAAAUGCGCAGAUAUCAGGAGGAACACCGGUGGCGAAGGCGGAUCUCUGGGCCAUUACUGA
RNAcentral lists this ribosomal RNA (713 nucleotides) under Streptomyces sp. Sp080513KE-04. RNAcentral's name for it is "bacterial SSU rRNA". It matches the Rfam family "Bacterial small subunit ribosomal RNA", at positions 13 to 743 of the family's 1533-position model. Lineage: Bacteria; Bacillati; Actinomycetota; Actinomycetes; Kitasatosporales; Streptomycetaceae. The record is from RNAcentral.